UUUUUCGGCCCUCUGUCAAACUUCAUUGAACCCAGUCUCUGUCAGGCUUUCAUCUUCACAUCACAGAUUUAACAAGAUCUCUCCACGUCUAGGUGGGACAGAGGGAGACAUUCCUUCCCUCCAUUCAGAUCCAACUUUUUCUGCUCAUCCACCUGUCUCAUUUCUCCCAGAAAGAUUUUUAAAAACCAAGGAUACAGAGAAUUAUUGACUGGAGCUCAGGAGAGAUUUUUGUUAGCUAAAGUCUAACAGUGGCAGAGGAAGGUAAUGGAAAACCUCAUUGACUGGAGGGAGAGUCUUAUGAUUUCUUGCAGAAUGAACCAGAAUAUCCUGCAUUCUUAGGCAAAUAUAACUGUAAUAGAGAUGAUUGCAAGUUCCUAGGCAGUGAUAGUGUCCUGCUGUGUUAUUCUCUGUCUCCACUCUAGUAGAUAUGGAAGAUCCAUAUACUUGAGAAACACAUGGAUGGUACAAAAGAAAGGGGAGCUUCAAGGGUCUUCAACAAAAUAAAAUUAACUAAAAACUUAAGCACACACAAAAUCCCAUACAAAUUUGGGUUUUAGCAAAGGAGAGAAGAAAUGUUGAUAAGAUCAAAACUGGGAGUAGCUGGAGAGUCACAAGUUCUGUAGGGCAAGAUUUCUUUGUUGACCUGAACUGAAAUCUGAGUUCUGAGUAAGAAGAGGGACAUGCUAUAGCAGAAAGAGAAGAAACCCGCGAUGGAUAAAAAUGAGCAAUGGCAGAAGUAGAAAGGUGGUAACAGGCAAAUCCUGCAAGGGAAAAAAAAUUAAUAAUUUUGAGCAAUCUAUAGAAAUCAUGCUGAAUUGUAAUGGAAGAUAUGGUUGGUAAAGCGUAUGCCUGAUUUUGAAGAGGUUUUGAAACCUUAGGUAGAAAAUUCGGGCAUUACUAUGCUAUAGGAUAGAUCUGUUCUUAUCUGUCUGAGGAGUGUCCUAAUAAACACCCAGCUGGAGAACUUUGUUCCAAAAGUUACAUAUUAAAGAAGAAUGUAAGACUCUUACUGUAAUCUGAGUGGGGUUUCAGGGAAAAAGUGAAAACUCAAAAAUGUCUGUAGAAGGUCCAGAUUUGGGGAGCUACUGAUGGACAUUUAUGCUGGCUCCUGCCUCUCAGAGGAGUUAGGAUCUAGAGAUUGAUAAUAACUUUUCUUUUUUGGAGGGUGUUUUUGGAAUUUUUUUAUUUUAUUACUGUCCUGAGAUCAAUUUUACUAAGAGGGGAGAUCCAAUAGCCCUUAAAACCACAAUAUGCAGUAUGAUAGGCUGUGGCAUUAUUCAAAAUGAUUUUCAUGAAUCUGGCUCCAAUCCAGACAUCUCAGAUAAGAAUAUAGCCCAGAGCUUUAAUGCUUUAGCUUUCUCAAAAUUCUUUAAAAAUCUCCCAUUUAUCAUUAUAUCCAUAAUACCUUUACUAUUUUUAGUCUUCCUUUUCCAUUGCAUUUUCUAUAGUUUAUGAUUCAAGACUGGCUUCAGUAAAAUAAAUAGUAUAAAAUAAAAUUUAUCAUGAUUUACCAUUUUCAUUUUGCUAGCUUUUAUUUUAUAUAUGGUUCAUGGAUAUCAAAAUUAAAUAAUAUCCUAAUUUGGUCUACUAAAUCUUUACUUAGUUAUCAUCAAUUACAAUUUACUUGUCCACUGGCCUGCAAAAAAGAAUGUGAAAUGUGAAAUAUGAAAUAUAACCUUAGGAUAAGGAUCUUCUCAUCUCGCCACAGAGGAUUUGUUAGUUUCAUUUUUUAUAUCAUUAUUUUUAUUCCUUAAAAACAAUUUCUCAAAGGGUGGGGUUAUCUCAGUAUCCACAAAGAACCAAACUUCAUACAGACUUUUUCUUGACUUUUUUAAUGAGUUCUACUCUUAAAAAGUAUUCCUUUGAACUGAAGUCACUGGGCUGCUUCUAUAAGGAAAAGACUGUCCAUUUAAGCUAACACAGACCAGGGUGUACUCUGCUAUUUCUGAAAUAAAAAUAGUUUUCUUUGUGUUGGGCUUCACAUUACGUAUUUUAACUUUUGACUUAUUAUCUUAGUCAUGUCGAAAUGAAAAAUGGAUCUCUCUAGGGACUUCCAUUAUGUCAGAUUGAAAAAUCAUCUCUCUUGACUGCUUGGGGCAACUGCAUGUUCAAAGCCCUUUUGCCUCAUUUCUCACAGUGCUCUCUAUGGCUAUGCCAUCCUCCUGCUUUGGGGCACAUUUCCAUUACUGGUGACAAAUCUUACACUCAGGGGUCAGACCUGUUCCCUGUGUACACGAUAAUCCCCAAGCAAUUGGCAAUGAUUUAUUCAUAAAUUUGAUUUAUUUAUUGUAUUCCCAUUACCUAAAGCUCUCUACUCCCUAAAAGGUGAUAUGUGUUAGUAUACAUAUGUAGCUAUGAAGUAGAAUUAUUUUUUGGACAUACACACACACACCAAAAAACACAUACACAGAGGGUUGGGGCAAAGGCCAUGUAGGGAAAUAUUUUUGUUAAAGAAUCAUAAAGAAUCAUAUCAGUAGUUACUCUAAGGAAACUUCAUGAGCUUUCUGAUCUGUGUGUUACUUAAUCUCAGCCUUAGAAGACAAUUGAAUUGUUCUUUGGAGGACUAUGGUGCUCUUCCUAGGAGACUUGGGGCAAGUUCAGUCCCCAUGAUCUAAUCCAGACCCUCUUAAAACCAAGAGAGAUAUUUUAUGACCUCCCUGGUACCAGUGAUCUUACUUUCUGUAUGUCACUAUCACCUUCUCAUCAUUCUUGUUCUCUUAACUCCUUUGACCACUCAUGGUGGGAAUCAGGAAAACAGGAAGAUGUGUGGGAAGUUUUCUCAUCUUACUUUACCACCCCUCCCAUCCCCAAUAUCCAAGGCACCAUUGAUAGAGCAUGUGCUUCAGGUGGCCUGACCUACAUUACACCUUUUGAUAACCUUUCUCAUCCUUUGAGGCCUUCAUCACAUCUUCUCUGAUACUCUCCUGAUCACUGCAGAUGGAAGGGAUAUCUUCUUCUCUGGCCUUCUGAUAGGAUUUUCUUUGCAUCAUUCACAUGGUACUGGAACCAUUCUACUCUGUAAUAUAUCCAUUUUUCUGCUGAUCCUACUGGAUUUUCUACACUGUCAACUCCUUGAGUGCUUGGGAAGCUUCAUAGUUGAAUAGCACCUACAUCAGAGCUUUAUAGCCACUGCUGUUUGUUUUCAAGAUAGCUGUACAUAGAGUGACUACAUCAGGAGAGUUCAGGAAUGUGGUGAUAAAUUAAUGAGACUGUUAAACAGAAAAAUUUAACUAUAAUGUCUGGUGUGAUGGAAUGCUCAUCAAAGUGUAAUGAUUCAUUUUUGAAUUUGAAAUAAAAGAGGCGUAUAUGUUUAAAGGGCAUUUUAGCUGGUAAAAAGUCACUGAGGCAUUAAACAUUAUUAUAGUGACCCUUAUUACUGAAAAUUGGCAUUUCUGUUUAAAUGGCACUCUAUAAAAUUAGAUUUUUCAAUAACAUUACAUGAACACACUAUUCUGUAGGUUGAAUUUGAGAUUCUUUAGAAAAGAGAAUAAGUAGAACAAAGUAGAAAACUUCAAACUAAAAAUGUUAACUAUUGAUUUGACAUUAACUUUAAUGACAAAUAAGAAACCAAGUGUUGUGAGCAAGGAAAUAAAAAUUAUUCUUUGUUUUCUCCAUGAUUUGCUCCUAUAGAUUUAAUUUCAUUUGUGUUUAAUUCUUGAAAUUUAUCUAAUCAGAAUAUCUUCUUUUAUAUAUGGAAAAAAUAUUUGAGGCUUGUAGAUGCUAAAUGCCUAAGAUGCCAAGACAAGAGAAAGAGGAAAACAGGAAAAUGUGUGGAAGGCAGGUGUCCUAUGGUAUGAAUAAAGAAUGGAAAACACAAACCUCAACCAUUUUUUCACCUACGCAUAGCUAAAUAUAUUCAUAUUUUGUUCCACAUAGCUAUGAAAUGGAUAAGAACAAAUAAGCAACCAGCAAAACAAAAUAAAAUCCCAUUUCAAGUACCCUUUUAUUAGGGCACAUAUUUUUUAGUAUAAAAAUAUACUGAGGUUUAAUUUGUUUUGGAGUCAGCUAGCAACACGCAGUAAACCCACCUGUAGAAAACAGGAUUGAAAGUAAGGAGACAUUGGUAGAAGCGAUGAAAAACAACUAGAUCUGUCAUAGUUGGUUUGCUUGGACACAGAGUUGUUUGUCCCUGAAGUUCAUAUUAGUAAUAAGAAUGAAUUUUUUUUUUUCUUUGCCGUGUGGCAUAUGGAAGUUCCCAGGCUGGGGGUCAUAUCCAAGCUACAGCUGCUGGCCUACACCACAGUCAUAGAAACACAGGAUCCGAGCUGUGUCUUUGACCUACACCACAGCUCACAACAAUGCCAGACACUUAGCACACUGAGGGAGGCCAGGAAUUGAACCCACAUCCUCAAGGAUUCUAGUCAGGUUCAUUACCAUUGAGCCACAAUGGGAACUACAAGAAUUAUUUUUUUUUAAAUAGUGCCUUUAUACUUUUUAUUCAUUUUAUUUAUUCAAAAAACUUUACAUGUAACCUGACCCCCUUGCUGUACAGUGGGGAAAAAAAAAAA
Molecule: long non-coding RNA, 4508 nt
Filed under: Sus scrofa (pig)
Lineage: Eukaryota; Metazoa; Chordata; Mammalia; Artiodactyla; Suidae
Description: lncRNA (ENSSSCG00040022825.1)
Source: RNAcentral